RNAcentral lists this ribosomal RNA (506 nucleotides) under uncultured bacterium. RNAcentral's name for it is "partial 16S ribosomal RNA". It matches the Rfam family "Bacterial small subunit ribosomal RNA", at positions 28 to 523 of the family's 1533-position model. The record is from RNAcentral.
GAUGAACGCUAGCUACAGGCUUAACACAUGCAAGUCGAGGGGUAACGAGAGGAAAGCUUGCUUUCCUUGUCGACGACCGGCGCACGGGUGAGUAACGCGUAUCCAACCUGCCCCCAACUAAGGAAUAACCUUGCGAAAGCAAGACUAAUACCUUAUAAUUUCCUCAGAUGUCAUCUGACGAGGAAUAAAGAUUUAUCGGUUGUGGAUGGGGAUGCGUCUGAUUAGCUGGUUGGCGGGGUACCGGCCCACCAAGGCAACGAUCAGUAGGGGUUCUGAGAGGAAGGUCCCCCACAUUGGAACUGAGACACGGUCCAAACUCCUACGGGAGGCAGCAGUGAGGAAUAUUGGUCAAUGGGCGAAAGCCUGAACCAGCCAAGUAGCGUGCAGGAUGACGGCCCUAUGGGUUGUAAACUGCUUUUAUACAGGAAUAAAGUUAGCCACGUGUGGUUAUUUGUAGGUACUGUAUGAAUAAGGACCGGCUAAUUCCGUGCCAGCCGCCGCCGUAA